RNAcentral lists this ribosomal RNA (275 nucleotides) under uncultured bacterium. RNAcentral's name for it is "partial 16S ribosomal RNA". It matches the Rfam family "Bacterial small subunit ribosomal RNA", at positions 399 to 691 of the family's 1533-position model. The record is from RNAcentral.
GCGUGAGUGAAGAAGGCCCUAGGGUUGUAAAGCUCUUUCACCUGUGAAGAUGAUGACGGUAGCAGGACAAGAAGCCCCGGCUAACUCCGUGCCAGCAGCCGCGGUAAUACGGAGGGGGCUAGCGUUGCUCGGAAUUACUGGGCGUAAAGGGCGCGCAGGCGGAACACAUAGUCAGACGUGAAAGCCCCGGGCUUAACCUGGGAAUUGCGUUUGAUACUUGUGAUCUGGAGUCUCGGAGAGGGUGGUGGAAUUCCCAGUGUAGAGGUGAAAUUCGU